UGGGGAAUAUUGGACAAUGGGCGCAAGCCUGAUCCAGCCAUGCCGCGUGUGUGAAGAAGGCCUUAGGGUUGUAAAGCACUUUCAGUAGGGAGGAAGGCCCCUUAGUUAAUAGCUGCGGGGAUUGACGUUACCUACAGAAGCAGCACCGGCUAACUCCGUGCCAGCAGCCGCGGUAAUACGGAGGGUGCAAGCGUUAAUCGGAAUUACUGGGCGUAAAGCGCGCGUAGGCGGUUUGUUAAGUGAGAUGUGAAAGCCCAGGGCUCAACCUUGGAACUGCAUCUCAUACUGGCAGGCUAGAGUACGGUAGAGGGGGGUAGAAUUCCACGUGUAGCGGUGAAAUGCGUAGAGAU
RNAcentral lists this ribosomal RNA (350 nucleotides) under uncultured bacterium. RNAcentral describes it as "bacterial SSU rRNA". It matches the Rfam family "Bacterial small subunit ribosomal RNA", at positions 355 to 697 of the family's 1533-position model. The record is from RNAcentral.